GAUGAACGCUGGCGGCGUGCCUAAUGCAUGCAAGUCGAGCGAACGGACGAGAAGCUUGCUUCUCUGAUGUUAGCGGCGGACGGGUGAGUAACACGUGGAUAACCUACCUAUAAGACUGGGAUAACUUCGGGAAACCGGAGCUAAUACCGGAUAAUAUUUUGAACCGCAUGGUUCAAAAGUGAAAGGCGGUCUUGCUGUCACUUAUAGAUGGAUCCGCGCUGCAUUAGCUAGUUGGUAAGGUAACGGCUUACCAAGGCAACGAUGCAUAGCCGACCUGAGAGGGUGAUCGGCCACACUGGAACUGAGACACGGUCCAGACUCCUACGGGAGGCAGCAGUAGGGAAUCUUCCGCAAUGGGCGAAAGCCUGACGGAGCAACGCCGCGUGAGUGAUGAAGGUCUUCGGAUCGUAAAACUCUGUUAUUAGGGAAGAACAUAUGUGUAAGUAACUGUGCACAUCUUGACGGUACCUAAUCAGAAAGCCACGGCUAACUACGUG
This 497-nucleotide ribosomal RNA is filed under the name uncultured bacterium. Its description in RNAcentral is "partial 16S ribosomal RNA". It matches the Rfam family "Bacterial small subunit ribosomal RNA", at positions 28 to 507 of the family's 1533-position model. The record is from RNAcentral.